This is a long non-coding RNA of Dromaius novaehollandiae (emu), 1413 nucleotides long. RefSeq lists it as uncharacterized. The record is from RefSeq and is a predicted model, not a curated record. NCBI's taxonomy places the organism in Eukaryota, Metazoa, Chordata, Aves, Casuariiformes, Dromaiidae. The transcript has 6 exons.
CCCUGGGAAACAAAGCCUCCCCUCACUGCUGAAACAGUGUUAAUUAGGGGGGGGUCUGGAUUAUAUCCUCCUCGUCAGGACCUUGGGAAAUAACACCUAUUGUCACUGCUGGGGCAGUGCUAAUUGCUGGAACAACGCCUGUUGGUCAGGGCCCUGAGAAAGAAGGGCAGAACCCGAGGAAUCAACACAUUUGUCAGCAGAAACCGCAACAGUAAAGAUAAGGGAGAAAAGCAGCCUGCCUAGGAACAAUGAUGAGACCCAAUAGGGAGCAGGAGACCCCAGACCCCAAAAUUACUAUUGGUCUGAACUACCGCGUGAGGGGUGGGAAACUUAAUUUGAAAAAGCUAUAAUUGCCCAGGGAUUUCUUUGUUCGGGGUCCCUCUUUGGAGGCACCCAACUCGAGCUGUAACUACUGCACGCGUGUCAUUACAAUUUAUUUAUUUAAUUUGCCUUGAUUUGGCUCCGAACUUUUCAGCGGGAACCUAGGGUCGGACCCUGCUCGAGUUGUAAUUACUGCAUGCGCAUCGCUAAAAUUUACACCCAGGGUGAAGAGGGCCAACAGGACGCCGCUGGAUCCACGGUGUGCAUGUCCUGGCUCUGCUGGAUGCAUCUUGUGUUUCCAAGGAAAGGAAGGAACGUUACAUGCACAGGGGGAAAGGCAGCGACGAUGCCCUUCAGCUGUGUGGAUUUAAAGUCUGACCAUAAUUAAUGUGCAGUUGGUACUAAAUCCUAAGAAACCAGAUAUCCUUGGUCAUAGCUACGAGGCUGCAGGGACAUCAAAAGAUGACUACGGAGCAGCGAUUCUAAUAGGAAGCUGAGCACUAAUGAUUGAAAGGAAAUACAUACAUCAAGAGGGCACCUUUAGGGCUGGCGUACCUGGCUGUGUCUCCCGAAGAAGUUCAUGUGGCAGCUGCCUCCUCCAUUAAAUCUCCAGAGGACCCCAAAGUUACUCUAGCACUUGCUUCUGAUUUCCUCCCCUGGCUUGCCGUUAAGCAGGGACAGUCUGCUGCUGGAGGAGCUGCUGCCGGAGCUGCCGAGAGCUCACGCGGGAAAAUCCUUCCCUUCCCCAGCAAGGAUUUCCUUCUGUCUCCAUCCCCUCUGAAAGGAAGACAUUUCAGACCUGGAUUAUUAGUACAUCUACCUUCCUAAGCAACGUUUUUUCUGAAGAACAGCCCAUCUUAUUCACAAAGACAGAAAAAUCCGGAAAAAUAAAUUAAGAUUUAGAUUUUUAACUUGUGAUCAAUUUGGGAAACUAGAUGCCAGCUGAAUUUCUAUUUGAUAUUCACAUUACAUUCAAGGUGCAAAGAAAUGGAAGCCACAACAGCGAUAACACAGAGCUAAUGUAUAUGUCAGCUCUAAUAUUACACCUGUACUGCUGGAAUUCUUGGUUCAAUAAAAUCUCUUUAUGUUUAA